RNAcentral lists this ribosomal RNA (253 nucleotides) under uncultured archaeon. RNAcentral describes it as "partial 16S ribosomal RNA". It matches the Rfam family "Archaeal small subunit ribosomal RNA", at positions 474 to 727 of the family's 1478-position model. The record is from RNAcentral.
AACCAGCACCUCAAGUGGUCAGGAUGAUUAUUGGGCCUAAAGCAUCCGUAGCCGGCUCUGUAAGUUUUCGGUUAAAUCUGUACGCUCAACGUACAGGCUGCCGGGAAUACUGCAGAGCUAGGGAGUGGGAGAGGUAGACGGUACUCGGUAGGAAGGGGUAAAAUCCUUUGAUCUAUUGAUGACCACCGGUGGCGAAAGCGGCUGGCUGGGGCCACUCUGACGCUGAGGCGCGAAAGCGUGGGGAGCAAACAGG